UACGAAGGGGGCUAGCGUUGCUCGGAAUCACCGGGCGUAAAGGGUGCGUAGGCGGGUCUUUAAGUCAGGGGUGAAAUCCUGGAGCUCAACUCCAGAACUGCCUUUGAUACUGAGGAUCUUGAGUACGGGAGAGGUGAGUGGAACUGCGAGUGUAGAGGUGAAAUUCGUAGAUAUUCGCAAGAACACCAGUGGCGAAGGCGGCUCACUGGCCCGUAACUGACGCUGAGGCACGAAAGCGUGGGGAGCAAACAGG
This 253-nucleotide ribosomal RNA is filed under the name uncultured bacterium. RNAcentral's name for it is "partial 16S ribosomal RNA". It matches the Rfam family "Bacterial small subunit ribosomal RNA", at positions 524 to 776 of the family's 1533-position model. The record is from RNAcentral.